This 431-nucleotide ribosomal RNA is filed under the name uncultured bacterium. RNAcentral describes it as "partial 16S ribosomal RNA". It matches the Rfam family "Bacterial small subunit ribosomal RNA", at positions 29 to 507 of the family's 1533-position model. The record is from RNAcentral.
AACGAACGCUGGCGGCAGGCUUAACACAUGCAAGUCGAGCGCCCCGCAAGGGGAGCGGCAGACGGGUGAGUAACGCGUGGGAACGUACCUUUUGGUUCGGAACAACUCCGGGAAACUGGAGCUAAUACCGGAUAAGCCCUAACGGGGAAAGAUUUAUCGCCGAAAGAUCGGCCCGCGUCUGAUUAGCUAGUUGGUGAGGUAACGGCUCACCAAGGCGACGAUCAGUAGCUGGUCUGAGAGGAUGAUCAGCCACACUGGGACUGGGACACGGCCCAGACUCCUACGGGAGGCAGCAGUGGGGAAUAUUGGACAAUGGGCGCAAGCCUGAUCCAGCCAGGCCGCGUGAGUGAUGAAGGCCUUAGGGUUGUAAAGCUCUUUUGUCCGGGAAGAUAAUGACUGUACCGGAAGAAUAAGCCCCGGCUAACUUCGUG